GAUUAACGCUGGCGGCGUGCAUAACACAUGCAAGUCGAACGAUGAAACUUAGUAGACUUCUUCGGAAUGACACUAAGCGGAUUAGUGGCGAACGGGUGAGUAACGCGUGAGUAACCUGCCUUACACAAGGGGAUAGCCUUUGGAAACGAAGAAUAAUACCCUAUAAAGCCAUAAAAGCACAUGCUAGAAUGGUCAAAGUGAUAGCGGUGUAAGAUGGACUUGCGUCUGAUUAGCUAGUUGGUGAGAUAAAAGCUCACCAAGGCAACGAUCAGUAGCCGGCUUGAGAGAGUGUACGGCCACAUUGGGACUGAGAUACGGCCCAG
RNAcentral lists this ribosomal RNA (323 nucleotides) under uncultured bacterium. RNAcentral's name for it is "bacterial SSU rRNA". It matches the Rfam family "Bacterial small subunit ribosomal RNA", at positions 28 to 334 of the family's 1533-position model. The record is from RNAcentral.